Molecule: ribosomal RNA, 512 nt
Filed under: uncultured bacterium
Lineage: Bacteria
Description: partial 16S ribosomal RNA
Rfam family: Bacterial small subunit ribosomal RNA
Source: RNAcentral
GAUGAACGCUGGCGGCAUGCCUAAUACAUGCAAGUCGAACGAGAGGAAGGAAAGCUUGCUUUUCUGAAUCUAGUGGCGAACGGGUGAGUAACACGUAGGUAACCUGCCCAUGUGCCCGGGAUAACUUCUGGAAACGGAUGCUAAAACCGGCUAGGUAGCAGACAAGCAUUUGACUGCUAUUAAAGUGGCUAAGGCCAUGAACAUGGAUGGACCUGCGGUGCAUUAGCUAGUUGGUGAGGUAACGGCCAACCAAGGCGACGAAGCAUAGCCGGCCUGAGAGGGCGGACGGCCACAUUGGGACUGAGACACGGCCCAAACUCCUACGGGAGGCAGCAGUAGGGAAUUUUCGUCAAUGGGGGGAACCCUGAACGAGCAAUGCCGCGUGAGUGAGGAAGGUCUUCGGAUCGUAAAGCUCUGUUGUAAGAGAAAAACGACAUUCAUAGGGAAUGAUGAGUGAGUGAUGGUAUCUUACCAGAAAGUCACGGCUAACUACGUGCCAGCCGCCGCCGUAA